Molecule: unclassified non-coding RNA, 201 nt
Filed under: Hevea brasiliensis (rubber tree)
Lineage: Eukaryota; Viridiplantae; Streptophyta; Magnoliopsida; Malpighiales; Euphorbiaceae
Source: RNAcentral
ACAAUGGUCGAAUAUUAUUCCAAUCUUCAAGAUUACUCCACUGAAAUUGAAGAAACGGAACGAAUCAAGCGCAAGAAGUCACGGGCAGUAGCUGCUGCGGUCGCUAUUUCUGCUGCCUCUAAUGGACUGGCUAGUAAGGGAAGUGGUGAUGCAAAGCAAGGGACUGGGGGUCAACACAGACGAUUAUGGGUGAAAGACAGA